RNAcentral lists this unclassified non-coding RNA (252 nucleotides) under Hevea brasiliensis (rubber tree). The record is from RNAcentral. Lineage: Eukaryota; Viridiplantae; Streptophyta; Magnoliopsida; Malpighiales; Euphorbiaceae.
AAAAAUUGCACAAAUUCCGAUGUUUUUUUUUAAUAAUCCUCACGGAUCCCAAGAAACAUAACUAAAUCCUCUAAAGUACCAACCAACUGGUAUUUCAUUUCAAAUUGAGUUUAGCUCUCUGAUUGAGUUUAGCUCUCUGAGGAAAAAUUUGAUCUUGAUUGUGAUUCUGGGUUACAAAUUGAAAAAAGGGCUGAUUUCUUUUUGCAUUUUUUGAGCUUUGGAAAAUGUUGGGUUUCUACAAAUGAUUGCGGG